GACGAACGCUGGCGGCGUGCUUAACACAUGCAAGUCGAACGGAAAGGCCCUGCUUUUGUGGGGUGCUCGAGUUGCGAACUGGUGAGUAACACGUGAGUAACCUGCCCUUGACUUUGGGAUAACUUCAGGAAACUUGGGCUAAUACCGGAUAGGAUCUCCUGCUUCUUGGUGGGGGUUGGAUAGUUUCGGCGGUUGGUGAUGGACUCGCGGCUUAUCACCUUGUUGGUGGGGUAGUGACUUACCAAGGCUUUGACGGGUAGCCGGCCUGAGAGGGUGACCGGCCACAUUGGGAGGGAGAGACGGACCAGACACAUACGGGAGGCAGGAGGGGGGAAGAUUGAACAAUGGGCGGAAGCCAGAUGCAGCAACGCCGGGUGCGGGAUGACGGCCUUCGGGUUGUAAACAGCUUUCGCCUGUGACGAAGCGUAAGUGACGGAAAGGGGUAAAGAAGCACCGGCUAACUACGU
This 467-nucleotide ribosomal RNA is filed under the name uncultured bacterium. RNAcentral describes it as "partial 16S ribosomal RNA". It matches the Rfam family "Bacterial small subunit ribosomal RNA", at positions 28 to 506 of the family's 1533-position model. The record is from RNAcentral.